Molecule: ribosomal RNA, 414 nt
Filed under: uncultured bacterium
Lineage: Bacteria
Description: bacterial SSU rRNA
Rfam family: Bacterial small subunit ribosomal RNA
Source: RNAcentral
AGGACUUGACAUUGAUAGAAUCCUGAUGAAAGUCGGGAGUGCCCUUCGGGGAGCUUGAAAACAGGUGGUGCACGGUUGUCGUCAGCUCGUGUCGUGAGAUGUUGGGUUAAGUCCCGCAACGAGCGCAACCCUUGUCGUUAGUUGGUCAUAGCGGUAUACUUCUAUGUACCUCUCUAGCGAGACUGCCGGUGAUAAACCGGAGGAAGGUGAGGACGACGUCAAAUCAUCAUGCCCCUUACGUUCUGGGCUACACACGUGUUACAAUGGCCGGUACAACGAGCAGCGAACUCGCGAGGGUAAGCAAAUCUCUUAAACCCGGUCUCAGUUCGGAUUGCACUCUGCAACUCGAGUGCAUGAAGUCGGAAUCGCUAGUAAACGCAGAUCAGCACGCUGCGUUGAAUACGUUCCCGGGUC